UAUUAUUGCUCCAGAUUGCCCAAAG
RNAcentral lists this unclassified non-coding RNA (25 nucleotides) under Mus musculus (house mouse). RNAcentral describes it as "oocyte_clustered_small_RNA13147". The record is from RNAcentral. Lineage: Eukaryota; Metazoa; Chordata; Mammalia; Rodentia; Muridae.